CUGACUCUGGCUCUGACCCUUGGCUCCAAUUCCUGACUACUGACACCUGCUGUACUCAUGAGGCUUGGCUGCUGCUCUAACCACUGGGUACAACUGCCUGUGUCCCAGUCACGGACACCCACCAAACAAGCUCCGGCAGCUGAGAACAAAAUGGCUGCUGAACUCUGCACUGGGCUAAACCACUGACUAACAUGGAAAGUAAGGAGAGACCACAAACUUGGACGAAGUAAAAAGUAACAACCCUGUUCAAAAGCAACGUUCAGACCUUCCGUAACAGGA
Long non-coding RNA from Malaclemys terrapin pileata, 279 nucleotides. RefSeq lists it as uncharacterized. The record is from RefSeq and is a predicted model, not a curated record. Lineage: Eukaryota; Metazoa; Chordata; Testudines; Emydidae. The transcript has 3 exons.